UACGUAGGUGGCAAGCGUUAUCCGGAUUUACUGGGUGUAAAGGGCGUGUAGGCGGGACUGCAAGUCAGAUGUGAAAACCACGGGCUCAACCUGUGGCCUGCAUUUGAAACUGUAGUUCUUGAGUACUAGAGGGGCAGACGGAAUUCCUAGUGUAGCGGUGAAAUGCGUAGAUAUUAGGAGGAACACCAGUGGCGAAGGCGGUCUGCUGGACAGCAACUGGCGCUGAGGCGCGAAAGCGUGGGGAGCAAACAGG
This 253-nucleotide ribosomal RNA is filed under the name uncultured bacterium. RNAcentral's name for it is "partial 16S ribosomal RNA". It matches the Rfam family "Bacterial small subunit ribosomal RNA", at positions 524 to 776 of the family's 1533-position model. The record is from RNAcentral.